UAAAUCGAAUGCAGUUAUUGAGAAGCCG
RNAcentral lists this non-coding RNA (28 nucleotides) under Bombyx mori (domestic silkworm). The record is from RNAcentral. Lineage: Eukaryota; Metazoa; Arthropoda; Insecta; Lepidoptera; Bombycidae.